UGUGUCUCUGAAACAGUGAACCCUGUAAACCUAGACGAAAGAACAUAAUCUUCUUCUCUAAUCUCCAUUCAAAAAGAAAUACCAAUUCAUGCAAGACCAAAAGAAAGCCGCAAACUUUGUCUUCAACUACAAAUCCAAAAACUACCCAAAAUUCUGCCGCAACUGGAAAAGUGACCCAACUCAGGGUUCUCUCUCUCUACCUCAGAUUGAGC
RNAcentral lists this long non-coding RNA (212 nucleotides) under Amborella trichopoda. Its description in RNAcentral is "long non-coding RNA (ATRI_LNC000959)". The record is from RNAcentral. Lineage: Eukaryota; Viridiplantae; Streptophyta; Magnoliopsida; Amborellales; Amborellaceae.